Molecule: long non-coding RNA, 1112 nt
Organism: Gallus gallus (chicken)
Lineage: Eukaryota; Metazoa; Chordata; Aves; Galliformes; Phasianidae
Source: Ensembl
GGUGUAUUCAUGUGAACUGUUACAUGUAUUAACAGUAAACAAAGGAGUUUUCAUGGUGAAGUCUCGGCAUUGAACUUCAGUAUUCCUACUUCAGUUUGUUUUUUCUGUCUAAUAAGUACACUAAUUUAAGAAAAGUGAAAAUUUACCUGCAGCGGUAGGUUGUGUUUAUCUUCUAUGCAUUUUUUUCCAGUGGAUUGCCUUGGUGCUUUCAGAAGAAGCUAGGAAGUCUAUUUGGUCUGUUGCUGUUGGGUACUUUGAGACUGAACGCUAUAUUCUGUGAUGGAAGAAAUGCAAUGCUGUUAAUCGCUGAUGAGAACAGAAUACCUGGCUAUGUGGUACACCCAACACCUCCUCUCUAUACCUGCCCGGCAUAAUGUGUAUGCUGUACAUGAAUACAAGAUGCAGGAGACUGACUACAGCCAUGAUGGGAGGAAACACCAUGCAGCAGUGACUCUGUUUCUUAUGUUACCUGGGAUGGAAGCAGGUGAUUAUCCUCAGGAGCUGCCACAUCCUUUUCUGGGAGCUCUCACAGUUGAAGCGAAAGAGGACAUUGGAGGACCCUAUAAUGGUCACUUAAGGAGCGUCUUCUAGCAGUGGCAUGAAAAGGCUCAUGGUGUCAGAGGCAGAUAUUGGUGGUAUGGCAGUAGAGGAUGAACCUUCCCACCAAUAUUCCAUUACAUGUUGUUGCCAUGUGACAGAUGGCAGUACAGGGGCAGUCUGACAGAAUGGUGUCUGACAUGGAAGAGUGUGUGAAGCAAAGAUGUCACUGAAUUCCUCCAUGCAGAAAAAAAGUGACACCCACUGACAUUCAUCAACAGUUGCUGAACAUUUAUGAAGACCAAACAUUGGAUGUGAGCACAGUGAGGCAGUGGGUGGUGUGGUUCAGCAGUGGUGACAUCAACAGUGGCUCACCUCUGCUGGUGCAGAUUUUUAUGAUCAUGGCAUGCAGGCUUUUGUCCAAGACUGGCAACAAUGCAUAGCUAAUGGUGCUGACUAUGUUGCAGAACAGUGUUUUGUAACUGAAUUUUCUCUGUCAAAUAGUUUUAUUGUGCUCUUUGCAUCUGUUGCAGUUUCCACGGAAAUAAAUAGGAGGCAUUACUUUUCGAGUGACC